Molecule: small RNA, 82 nt
Filed under: Flavobacterium circumlabens
Lineage: Bacteria; Pseudomonadati; Bacteroidota; Flavobacteriia; Flavobacteriales; Flavobacteriaceae
Description: Flavo-1 RNA
Rfam family: Flavo-1 RNA
Source: RNAcentral
CACUAGCCCUGAUUGCAAUGGAAAUCCUUUUCAUUUUUUUCUUUAAAAAAUGAAAAGAUUGAAAUGGAAAGCAGGAAUUAGC